UACCGGAUACACACUUUUUGAGGCAUCUCAGAUGGUGGAAAGUUUUUCGGCUAGGGAUGGGCCCGCGGCCUAUCAGCUUGUUGGUGGGGUAAUGGCCUACCAAGGCGACGACGGGUAGCCGGCCUGAGAGGGCGACCGGCCACACUGGGACUGAGACACGGCCCAGACUCCUACGGGAGGCAGCAGUGGGGAAUAUUGCGCAAUGGGCGAAAGCCUGACGCAGCGACGCCGCGUGAGGGAUGACGGCCUUCGGGUUGUAAACCUCUUUCAGCUCUGACGAAGCGAAAGUGACGGUAGGAGCAGAAGAA
RNAcentral lists this ribosomal RNA (308 nucleotides) under actinobacterium BAL170. RNAcentral's name for it is "bacterial SSU rRNA". It matches the Rfam family "Bacterial small subunit ribosomal RNA", at positions 167 to 489 of the family's 1533-position model. The record is from RNAcentral. Lineage: Bacteria; Bacillati; Actinomycetota; Actinomycetes.